AGCGAACGCUGGCGGCAGGCUUAACACAUGCAAGUCGAGCGGGCCCUUCGGGGUCAGCGGCGGACGGGUGAGUAACGCGUGGGAACGUGCCUUAUGGUCUGGAAUAACCCUGGGAAACUAGGGCUAAUACCGGAUACGCCCUUUUGGGGAAAGGUUUACUGCCGGAAGAUCGGCCCGCGUCUGAUUAGCCAGUUGGUGGGGUAACGGCCUACCAAGGCGACGAUCAGUAGCUGGUCUGAGAGGAGGAUCAGCCACACUGGGACUGAGACACGGCCCAGACUCCUACGGGAGGUAGCAGUGGGGAAUAUUGGACAAUGGGCGCAAGCCUGAUCCAGCCAUGCCGCGUGAGUGAUGAAGGCCUUAGGGUUGUAAAGCUCUUUUAUCCGGGACGAUAAUGACGGUACCGGAGGAAUAAGCCCCGGCUAACUUCGUG
This 433-nucleotide ribosomal RNA is filed under the name uncultured bacterium. RNAcentral describes it as "partial 16S ribosomal RNA". It matches the Rfam family "Bacterial small subunit ribosomal RNA", at positions 29 to 507 of the family's 1533-position model. The record is from RNAcentral.